Molecule: long non-coding RNA, 574 nt
Filed under: Triticum aestivum (bread wheat)
Lineage: Eukaryota; Viridiplantae; Streptophyta; Magnoliopsida; Poales; Poaceae
Description: long non-coding RNA (TAES_LNC014672)
Source: RNAcentral
AAGCACCAAAACAUGGUGCAACAUCAACUAAAAGUGUGGUGCGCAUCUCAAUGCCUCUUCUGGUCUUCCGUCACAGCAGCAGCAGCCUAAGCAACAUUAGAUCCUGAUCUAGAUCACCAAAAAGAAACAUUAUUUAAUUUUUAGAGACAAUGCAAUCAACAUGAGGCGGUAAUCCAACUUAACACUUUGUUAACAUAUUUUACAUAUGCAAAUAACUGAGCUUACUGUAUAAGUUUAAGAUCCACAUGCAAUGUGAAACUGAAUUGCCAAAUAGCAGCAUGAUACGUUGGUACAAGUGCAGGUCAUCAAUGAACAUCACUGUAACAGGUUCACCUGAAGAAAAAUACUACUCUACUACCACUACCAUCGAUUCAACUUACAGGAUCUAACAACACUAGUGAGCGCACACAGACUAACAUCACAAGGCAAGAGAGAAUAGAGGGAACAGGGACCUGAUGAUGAUAGUGUCGACGAUGAUCAGAUUGGGUAGAUCAUCCACCUCCUCAUUGUGGUGUGCACCAAAAUGAUCUACACACAUUUGUCAUCCAAAGUAAACACCUGCAUGAUUAAAAAA